UUGUCAUACACUCAAUUACACAUUACCCUAUUAUUAUAUUGAGGAGCACAUGGUGUAGAACAACCCAUUUCUGAUUUCUUAUAAAGAGACCAAUAUGAUUUUAUUAUCAAACCACACUAAAAUACACAUACACCCAAAAGUCUAAUCUAAGUUCAAGAGUUCAAGUUCGAAGUUCAGUGCUUUCAAAAUCCAUCUUUUUGCUUGAAUCAAGUUCGCAUAAGUUUUGAGGACGACCCGAUUUGUGGAUUCUCUUUUGCUUGCUAAACUAAGGUAAUCAGGGAUAAUAUGGGGAAUCAGUAAUGAGAGAUUAAUGGAUGUUCAAGAGUAUUUAAAGACUCUUUAUUUUGUUAAAUCAUGUACUUUUAAAUGAACUUCAGACUUAGGGUAUUUUGAGACGUGUAUGUCACCUUGAAUCCUAUCUUAUAUUAAGUGGAUGUGUUUUGGUUAUGGUAUUCGUAAUAGUGACGCUCCGACCUGCCCC
This is a long non-coding RNA of Helianthus annuus (common sunflower), 481 nucleotides long. RefSeq lists it as uncharacterized. Lineage: Eukaryota; Viridiplantae; Streptophyta; Magnoliopsida; Asterales; Asteraceae. The record is from RefSeq and is a predicted model, not a curated record. The transcript is spliced from 3 exons.